This 497-nucleotide ribosomal RNA is filed under the name uncultured bacterium. RNAcentral's name for it is "partial 16S ribosomal RNA". It matches the Rfam family "Bacterial small subunit ribosomal RNA", at positions 28 to 507 of the family's 1533-position model. The record is from RNAcentral.
GAUGAACGCUGGCGGCGUGCCUAAUACAUGCCAGUCGAGCGAACAGACGAGGAGCUUGCUCCUCUGACGUUAGCGGCGGACGGGUGAGUAACACGUGGAUAACCUACCUAUAAGACUGGGAUAACUUCGGGAAACCGGAGCUAAUACCGGAUAAUAUAUUGAACCGCAUGGUUCAAUAGUGAAAGACGGUUUUGCUGUCACUUAUAGAUGGAUCCGCGCCGCAUUAGCUAGUUGGUAAGGUAACGGCUUACCAAGGCAACGAUGCGUAGCCGACCUGAGAGGGGGAUCGGCCACACUGGAAGUGAGACACGGUCCAGACUCCUACGGGAGGCAGCAGUAGGGAAUCUUCCGCAAUGGGCGAAAGCCUGACGGAGCAACGCCGCGUGAGUGAUGAAGGUCUUCGGAUCGUAAAACUCUGUUAUUAGGGAAGAACAAAUGUGUAAGUAACUAUGCACGUCUUGACGGUACCUAAUCAGAAAGCCACGGCUAGCUACGUG